This 301-nucleotide ribosomal RNA is filed under the name uncultured bacterium. Its description in RNAcentral is "partial 16S ribosomal RNA". It matches the Rfam family "Bacterial small subunit ribosomal RNA", at positions 509 to 808 of the family's 1533-position model. The record is from RNAcentral.
CAGUAGCCGCGGGAAUACGUAGGUCCCGAGCGUUGUCCGGAUUUAUUGGGCGUAAAGGGAGCGCAGGCGGUUUAGUAAGUCUGAAGUUAAAGGCAUUGGCUCAACCAAUGUAUGCUUUGGAAACUGUUAGACUUGAGUGCAGAAGGGGAGAGUGGAAUUCCAUGUGUAGCGGUGAAAUGCGUAGAUAUAUGGAGGAACACCGGUGGCGAAAGCGGCUCUCUGGUCUGUCACUGACGCUGAGGCUCGAAAGCGUGGGUAGCGAACAGGAUUAGAUACCCCGGUAGUCCCUGUCUCUUAUACA